RNAcentral lists this unclassified non-coding RNA (401 nucleotides) under soil metagenome. RNAcentral's name for it is "partial contains 5.8S ribosomal RNA, internal transcribed spacer 2, and large subunit ribosomal RNA". The stretch from base 1 to 121 matches the Rfam family "5.8S ribosomal RNA", at positions 35 to 154 of the family's 154-position model. The record is from RNAcentral.
GAUGAAGAACGUAGUGAAAUGCGAUAAGUAAUGUGAAUUGCAGAAUUCAGUGAAUCAUCGAAUCUUUGAACGCACCUUGCGCCCUUUGGCCAUUCCGAAGGGCAUGCCUGUUUGAGUAUCAUGAACACCUCAACUCUCAUGGCUUGCCAUGAUGAGCUUGGACUUUGGGGGUCUUGCUGGCCUGUGGUCGGCUCCUCUCAAAUGAAUCAGCUUUCCAGUGUUUGGUGGCAUCACAAGUGUGAUAACUAUCUGCGCUCGUGGUUUCCAUCAGAUAACCUCCAGUGAUGGAGGUUCGCUGGAGCUCAUAAAUGUCUCUCCUAAGCGAGGACAGCUCUUUUAAUGUUUGAUCUCAAAUCAGGUAGGACUACCCGCUGAACUUAAGCAUAUCAAUAAGCGGAGGA